This 472-nucleotide ribosomal RNA is filed under the name uncultured bacterium. RNAcentral describes it as "SSU rRNA". It matches the Rfam family "Bacterial small subunit ribosomal RNA", at positions 26 to 518 of the family's 1533-position model. The record is from RNAcentral.
AGGAUGAACGCUGGCGGCGUGCCUAACACAUGCAAGUCGAACGUCCUUCUUCUUCGGAAGAAGGGAGUGGCGGACGGGUGAGUACCACGUGGGUUAUCUACCGUGAGGUGAGGAAUACCGGCGAGAAAUCGCCGACAAGACCGCAUAGGCUCGAUGCAAGUCGAGCAAAGCUCGCUCGCAAGAGGGAGCGCCACACGAGGAGCCUGCGCCCGAUUAGCUGGCUGGUGGAGUAAUGGUUCACCAGGGCGACGAUCGGUAGCUGGUCUGAGAGGACGAUCAGCCACACUGGGAUUGAGAACGGCCCAGACUCCUACGGGGGGCAGCAGUGAGGAAUUUUCGUCAAUGGGGGCAACCCUGAACGAGCAACGCCGCGUGCAGGAGAAGGUUUUCGGAUCGUAAACUGCUUUUCUCGGGGAAGAGAACGGACGGUACCCGAGGAAGAAGCCCCGGCUAACUACGUGCCAGCAGCCGC